Molecule: long non-coding RNA, 1082 nt
Filed under: Podarcis muralis (Common wall lizard)
Lineage: Eukaryota; Metazoa; Chordata; Lepidosauria; Squamata; Lacertidae
Description: lncRNA (ENSPMRG00000012769.1)
Source: RNAcentral
GAUCUAUUAUUAGGCGAGGCUUAAGGGUGGGGCCGGAGAGAGAGAAAGCCUGGUUUAGAAAGUGGGGGAAAGCGAGCGAGCGAUCGCGCCUCGACCUCCACGGAGCCUGUUCCCUCCCUUCUCAACUUGAGGCUGCCGGGUUGCAGGGAGAGAGCGAGCAUGUGAUCGCAUUGGCUCGCCUUGCCAUGGUGUGGCAGCAGCGCGGGCAGCAAUGGAGGCGGCUUAAGGGACGAGGCUGGGCGGCUGCUGCUGCUGCUGGCUGGCUAGACCGCAGAUGGGAAAGCCCGACCCAAUUUCUCGUCGCCAAAUCCAGCUGGAAAGAAGAGCAUUAAUUGGCAUACCGAAGAAGUGCAUGAAAAGUUUUGAUACUUUGGAAAAGCCUGAGUAGACCCGUAUAUAAGAAGAUUAAACUUUGGGAAGGUAAGGAAUACAUUGUAAAUAAAGAUAUUUUGACAGCUAAGCUAUUAUUAUUAUUAUUCUAUGAAUGUAGGUUUGGGUAUCUUCUGACAAUGCUGUAUGAAGAAUCCAGCAAACAUGCACUUUGUGUAUAUUUACCAAAAAGUGCUCAAACUUUGCUGUGGAGAUCAGUGAAAGCUGUAGCUACAGACACUACAAAGCUGGCUGCAGGCUGAAAUCGCUGGGCAAUGGUAAACAAAAAGGCAAUGCUACUUGUUUAACUCCAAGUAGGUACUCUAUGGGACGCGGGUGGCCCUGUGGUCUAAACCACUGAGCCUCUUGGGCUUGCUGAUCAGAAGGUCGGCGGUUCGUAUCCCCACGAUGGGGUGAGCUCCCAUUGCUCGGUCCCAGCUUCUGAGAACCAAGCAGUUCGAAAGCACACCCAAGUAGUGCAAGUAGAUAAAUAGGUACUGCUCCAGCGGGGAGGUAAAUGGCAUUUCCAUGUACUGCUCUGGUUUCAGUGUUACAUUGCGCCAGAAGCGGCUUAGUCAUGCUGGCCACAUGACCCGGAAAAACUGUCUGUGGACAAAUGCCGGCUCCCUUGGCCUGUAAAGCGAGAUGAGCGCUGCAACCCCAGAGUCAUCUGUGACUGGAUUUAACUGUCAGGGGUCCUUUGCCUUUACCUC